Molecule: small nucleolar RNA, 94 nt
Organism: Choloepus hoffmanni (Hoffmann's two-fingered sloth)
Lineage: Eukaryota; Metazoa; Chordata; Mammalia; Pilosa; Megalonychidae
Gene: SNORD116
Rfam family: Small nucleolar RNA SNORD116
About the family: HBII-85 is a member of the C/D class of snoRNAs, which contain the C (UGAUGA) and D (CUGA) box motifs. HBII-85 is encoded in a tandemly repeated array with another C/D snoRNA, HBII-52, in the Prader-Willi syndrome (PWS) region of chromosome 15.
Source: Ensembl
GGAUCGAUGAUGACAGAUAAAUAUACAUUCCUUGGGAAGGCUGAACAAAAUGAUUGAGAAAUCUCUACCGUCUCCUCUCAUCGAACUGAGGUCC